GACGAACGCUGGCGGCGUGCCUAACACAUGCAAGUCGAACGGAAAGGCCCUGCUUUUGUGGGGUGCUCGAGUGGCGAACGGGUGAGUAACACGUGAGUAACCUGCCCUUGACUUUGGGAUAACUUCAGGAAAAUGGGGCUAAUAUCGGCUAGGAGCUCCUGCUGCAUGGUGGGGGUUGGAAAGUUUCGGCGGUUGGGGAUGUACUGGCGGCUUAUCGGCUUGUUGGUGGGGUAGUGGUUUACCAAGGCUUUGAGGGGUAGCCGGCCUGGGAGGGUGACCGGCGACAUUGGGCCUGCGAUAGGGCCCAGAAUGCAACGGGAGGCAGCGGUGGGGAAUAUUGCAGAAUGGGCGGACGCCAGAUGCAGAAACGCCGCGUGCGGGAUGCCGGGCUUCGGGUUGUGAACCGCUUUCGCCUGUGACGAAGAGUGAGUGACGGUACUGGGUAAAGAAGCACCGGCUAACUACGUG
This 468-nucleotide ribosomal RNA is filed under the name uncultured bacterium. RNAcentral's name for it is "partial 16S ribosomal RNA". It matches the Rfam family "Bacterial small subunit ribosomal RNA", at positions 28 to 507 of the family's 1533-position model. The record is from RNAcentral.